CAGCAGCCGCGGUAAUACGUAGGUGGCAAGCGUUGUCCGGAAUUAUUGGGCGUAAAGGGCUCGCAGGCGGUUUCUUAAGUCUGAUGUGAAAGCCCCCGGCUCAACCGGGGAGGGUCAUUGGAAACUGGGAAACUUGAGUGCAGAAGAGGAGAGUGGAAUUCCACGUGUAGCGGUGAAAUGCGUAGAGAUGUGGAGGAACACCAGUGGCGAAGGCGACUCUCUGGUCUGUAACUGACGCUGAGGAGCGAAAGCGUGGGGAGCGAACAGGAUUAGAGACCCCAGUAGUCCCUGUCUCUUAUAA
RNAcentral lists this ribosomal RNA (301 nucleotides) under uncultured bacterium. Its description in RNAcentral is "partial 16S ribosomal RNA". It matches the Rfam family "Bacterial small subunit ribosomal RNA", at positions 509 to 809 of the family's 1533-position model. The record is from RNAcentral.